Molecule: ribosomal RNA, 253 nt
Filed under: uncultured bacterium
Lineage: Bacteria
Description: partial 16S ribosomal RNA
Rfam family: Bacterial small subunit ribosomal RNA
Source: RNAcentral
UACAGAGGUCUCAAGCGUUGUUCGGAUUCAUUGGGCGUAAAGGGUGCGUAGGCGGCGCGGUAAGUCGGAUGUGAAAUCCCUCGGCUCAACCAAGGAAGUGCAUCCGAAACUGCUGAGCUUGAGUACUUAAGAGGAUCGCGGAAUUCCCGGUGUAGAGGUGAAAUUCGUAGAUAUCGGGAGGAACACCAGUGGCGAAGGCGGCGAUCUGGGAAGAUACUGACGCUGAGGUGCGAAAGCGUGGGGAGCGAACAGG